RNAcentral lists this ribosomal RNA (497 nucleotides) under uncultured bacterium. RNAcentral describes it as "partial 16S ribosomal RNA". It matches the Rfam family "Bacterial small subunit ribosomal RNA", at positions 28 to 507 of the family's 1533-position model. The record is from RNAcentral.
GAUGAACGCUGGCGGCGUGCCUAAUACAUGCAAGUCGAGCGAACGGACGAGAAGCUUGCCUUUCUGAUGUUAGUGGCGGACGGGUGAGUAACACGUGGAUAACCUACCUAUAAGACUGGGAUAACUUCGGGAAACCGGAGCUAAUACCGGAUAAUAUUUUGAACCGCAUGGUUCAAAAGUGAAAGACGGUCUUGCUGUCACUUAUAGAUGGAUCCGCGCUGCAUUAGCUAGUUGGUAAGGUAACGGCUUACCAAGGCAACGAUGCAUAGCCGACCUGAGAGGGUGAUCGGCCACACUGGAACUGAGACACGGUCCAGACUCCUACGGGAGGCAGCAGUAGGGAAUCUUCCGCAAUGGGCGAAAGCCUGACGGAGCAACGCCGCGUGAGUGAUGAAGGUCUUCGGAUCGUAAAACUCUGUUAUUAGGGAAGAACAUAUGUGUAAGUAACUGUGCACAUCUUGACGGUACCUAAUCAGAAAGCCACGGCUAACUACGUG